Molecule: long non-coding RNA, 241 nt
Organism: Rhipicephalus sanguineus (brown dog tick)
Lineage: Eukaryota; Metazoa; Arthropoda; Arachnida; Ixodida; Ixodidae
Exons: 3
Source: RefSeq, a predicted model, not a curated record
UGUCCGACAGCGCUAGGGCUAGCGCCACAGGUCCGUCUUUGCUAUGGGCAGGUAACAGCCAAACUGGUCGGCUCAACUGCUGCGGCUCUUUUGUGUUGCAGCGCCCUUGGAUUGUGGCCGUGAUCAGAAGCGGACGAGCUGAGCCAUUGUAAGGCCACUGCUAGGCUCGUCUUCGGGGCCUCCCCCUUCCACGCCCCUGACAGGUUCCAAGGAGACUUCCAGCCGAAGAGGGCCGUCACGA